RNAcentral lists this ribosomal RNA (729 nucleotides) under Candidatus Tremblayella phenacoccinincola. RNAcentral describes it as "bacterial SSU rRNA". It matches the Rfam family "Bacterial small subunit ribosomal RNA", at positions 658 to 1382 of the family's 1533-position model. Lineage: Bacteria; Pseudomonadati; Pseudomonadota; Betaproteobacteria. The record is from RNAcentral.
GGGAUAGAAUUCCAGGAGUAGCGGUGAAAUGCAUAGAUAUCUGGAGGAAUACCAAAGGCGAAGGCAGUCCCCUGGUCCGAUACUGACACUGAGGUACGAAAGCGUGGGGAGCAAACAGGAUUAGAUACCCUGGUAGUCCACGCCCUAAACGAUGUCGAUUAGCCAUUGGAAGGACCCCUUUUCCUUUCAGUGACGUAGCCAACGCGUUAAAUCGACCGCCUGGGAAGUACGACCGCAAGGUUAAAACUCAAAGGAAUUGACGGGGACCUGAACAAGCGGUGAAUGAUGUGGAUUAAUUCGAUGCUACGCGAAGAACCUUACCUACCUUUGACAUGGCCAAAGUUCUACCGAGAGGCGGAAGUACUCGUAAGAGGAUUGGCGCACAGGUGCUGCAUGGUUGUCGUCAGUUCGUGUCGUGAGAUGUUGGGUUCAGUCCCGCAACGAACGCAACCCUUAUCUUUAAUUGCUCCUAUUUUAACAGGCACUUUAAAGAAACUGCCAAUGAUAAGUUGGAGGAAGGUGGGGAUCACGUCAAGUCCGCAUGGCCUUUAUAGGUAGGGCUUCACACGUCAUACAAUGGUUAGAACAAAGAGCUGCAAAUUCGUAAGAAGGAGCCAAUCUCACAAACCUAACCUCAGUUCGAAUUGCGGUCUGCAACUCGAGCGCAUGAAGCCGGAAUCGCUAGUAAUCGUGGAUCAGAAUGCCACGGUGAAUACGUUCUUAGGUCUU